This 406-nucleotide ribosomal RNA is filed under the name uncultured bacterium. RNAcentral's name for it is "partial 16S ribosomal RNA". It matches the Rfam family "Bacterial small subunit ribosomal RNA", at positions 30 to 526 of the family's 1533-position model. The record is from RNAcentral.
AUUGAACGCUGGCGGCAGGCCUAACACAUGCAAGUCGAGCGCGGCGCAGGCGUGUGAGUAAUAUGUGGGAAACCGCCUGAUAGGGGGGGAUCACUUCUGAAAACUAUCGAUAAUACCGCAUACUAUCAUAUGUGCCCAUAUGGGAUUAGCUAGUGGGUGGGGGAAUGGCUCCCCUAGGCGAAGAUCCCUAGCUGGUCUGAGAGGAUGAACAGCCACACGGGAACUGAGACACGGCCCAGACUCCUACGGGAGGCAGCAGUGGGGAAUAUUGCACAAGGGGCGCAAGCCUGAUGCAGCCAUGCCGCGUGUGUGAAGAAGGCCCUCGGGUUGUAAAGCACUUUCAGCGGGGAGGCGUUACCCGCAGAAGAAGCACCGGCUAACUCCGUGCCAGCCGCCGCGGUAAUAC